RNAcentral lists this long non-coding RNA (1102 nucleotides) under Cricetulus griseus (Chinese hamster). Its description in RNAcentral is "lncRNA (ENSCGRG00015030759.1)". The record is from RNAcentral. Lineage: Eukaryota; Metazoa; Chordata; Mammalia; Rodentia; Cricetidae.
GCUCUUUGUGCCUGAGAAAGCUUCUUCUCUGCUCCAGCCUUUGGAAUUUGGGGACUCUUUGUAACCCAGGCCACAGGAAAGGUCUCGAGAGUCCUCAAGGCCUGUGCUUUGGAAAUUCCCACCGUCUUAACUGCAGGUGUGACAAUGUUAACUGAAGGCCUGGUGCCAUGCUGCCUAGGCUCAGAGAUUGAUAACUGCGAAGGCAUCCAGAUUUGGGGGUCUGCCCCCCCUUCUCCUUAACACUCCAGCCUCUGAGGCUGGCCAGGCAUCUGGUGUUUGUUAGAUGGCUGUGGAACAUCUCCUAGCAUUGGAGCGAUUGCAGAGAAGGCUGUGGGGCACAAAAUGGCCUCAUCCGGUUUACAUCUUCAUUACCAACCUCCUCACAUACCUGCUUACAUCUGGAACGAAUCUCCAGACAUACUGGUCUCAAACUGACUAUGUACCGGAGAGUGCCACUGAACUGCUUGCUUCUUCUGCCUUCCCUUUCCUAGUGGUGUGACGACAAGCAAAGUGGUACCAUAUUCAGUGAAGGUUGCCACUGGAAUGGAACCCUAGGCUUCAUGCAUGCCAGGCAAACACUACGUCCUGAGCUUCAUCUCCAGUUACUGCAAUUUACUCAUUUUUUAAUUUUUAUUUUAUAAAUUAAGGGAGAUCCAAAAGGAGGAGGAGGAAGAGAAGGACCUAAGGGAGGCUUCAGCAGGCCCCUUUGCCUUUUUUGUGUGCCCACACAGCCAAGGAGAAGGCAGUCUCUGUAGGGUCGUUCCUGUUAGUGCUCACUUCAACUCUGAGUCCUUUACUCUUGAGUUCAGCUGGGCUGUACCCACAGCUCCUGUUCCAGGCUUCUCCCUCCACCCCACUCCAAAGGAGGUGAGGCAAACCUGCUGUGGUUGAGUUCAUAUGAUGCAUAGAUUAGGUUUCUUGGUAGUUUCUCAUUAUCCUCAUAAAGUUUCUGCAUUUUUUCAUUCCAUUUUACUUUUGAGUCUACAAUUGGAAGUUUUCAAAUGUUCUAUCUAUUUCUGCUUGAUUGAGUCUAUUAUUGACAUUUCUGUUGCUUUUCUUUUUAUUUCAUUGAAUUUAUCCAGGAUCCUUAUUUUUAUCUCUA